AUUGAACGCUGGCGGCGUGCCUAACACAUGCAAGUCGAGCGGUAACAGGUGUAGCAAUACAUGCUGACGAGCGGCGGACGGGUGAGUAACGCUUGGGAAUCUGCCUAUUAGUGGGGGACAACCCGGGGGAAACUCGGGCUAAUACCGCAUACGCACUACGGUGGAAAGCCGGGGACCGCAAGGCCUGGCGCUAACAGAUGAGCCCAAGUCGGAUUAGCUAGUUGGUAGGGUAACGGCCACCAAGGCGACGAUCCGUAACUGGUCUGAGAGGACGACCAGUCACACCGGAACUGAGACACGGUCCGGACUCCUACGGGAGGCAGCAGUGGGGAAUAUUGGACAAUGGGCGAAAGCCUGAUCCAGCGACGCCGCGUGGGUGAAGAAGGCCUGCGGGUUGUAAAGCCCUUUCAGUGGGGAAGAAAAGCCUCGAGCUAAUAUCUCGGGGUCUUGACGUAACCCAUAGAAGAAGCACCGGCUAACUCU
Molecule: ribosomal RNA, 483 nt
Filed under: uncultured bacterium
Lineage: Bacteria
Description: bacterial SSU rRNA
Rfam family: Bacterial small subunit ribosomal RNA
Source: RNAcentral